UACAGAGGGCUCAAGCGUUGUUCGGAUUCAUUGGGCGUAAAGGGCGCGUAGGUGGCGGGGCAAGUCAGGUGUGAAAUCUCGGAGCUCAACUCCGAAACUGCACUUGAUACUGCCUUGCUGGAGUACUGGAGAGGAGAUUGGAAUUUACGGUGUAGCAGUGAAAUGCGUAGAUAUCGUAAGGAAGACCAGUGGCGAAGGCGAAUCUCUGGACAGUUACUGACACUGAGGCACGAAGGCCAGGGGAGCAAACGGG
RNAcentral lists this ribosomal RNA (253 nucleotides) under uncultured bacterium. RNAcentral's name for it is "partial 16S ribosomal RNA". It matches the Rfam family "Bacterial small subunit ribosomal RNA", at positions 524 to 776 of the family's 1533-position model. The record is from RNAcentral.